GACGAACGCUGGCGGCGUGCCUAAUACAUGCAAGUCGAGCGAAGUUUUUCUGGUGCUUGCACUAGAAAAACUUAGCGGCGAACGGGUGAGUAACACGUAAAGAACCUGCCUCAUAGACUGGGACAACUAUUGGAAACGAUAGCUAAUACCGGAUAACAGUAUUUCUCGCAUGAGAGAUAUUUAAAAGUUGGUUAUGCUAACACUAUGAGAUGGCUUUGCGGUGCAUUAGCUAGUUGGUGGGGGAAAGGCCCACCAAGGCGACGAUGCAUAGCCGACCUGAGAGGGUUAUCGGCCACACUGGGACUGAGACCCGGCCCAGACUCCUACGGGAGGCAGCAGUAGGGAAUCUUCCGCAAUGGGCGAAAGCCUGACGGAGCAACGCCGCGUGAGUGAAGAAGGAUUUCGGUUCGUAAAGCUCUGUUGUUAGGGAAGAAUGGAUAUGUAGUAACUAUACAUGUAAGAGACGGUACCUAACCAGAAAGCCACGGCUAACUACGUG
Molecule: ribosomal RNA, 499 nt
Filed under: uncultured bacterium
Lineage: Bacteria
Description: partial 16S ribosomal RNA
Rfam family: Bacterial small subunit ribosomal RNA
Source: RNAcentral